RNAcentral lists this long non-coding RNA (1641 nucleotides) under Malus domestica (apple). RNAcentral's name for it is "long non-coding RNA (MDOM_LNC003887)". The record is from RNAcentral. Lineage: Eukaryota; Viridiplantae; Streptophyta; Magnoliopsida; Rosales; Rosaceae.
GAUCAACGAAAAUCAAUACCCUUGCCACUAGGGUAUUCUCAUAAAUUCACAUAUUAAAAUUAAUAAAAAGUACAAUUAGGGACGGGUUGCCACAGUAUGCAUAUGAUUCAUGUGUAGAGAAUAAUCCUUUAGCCAUCCUUUCAUCCAUAUUUCAUUGACAACUUAAUUUACUUGUUGCCCUUUACUUUUGUUUUAAUUAAAUUCGUCCAAAAUCCCCCCAGUCAUUGUUUUUUUGUUAGUUUAACUUAGUUUUCAGUUUUAUAAGUUUAAUUUUAUAAGUUUAGUUUGUGCUUGCAUUACAAAGUCAAUCAUGGUACUAUUCACUUUACCCUUUAUUUUGUCCUUAUCAUUAAAACUCAAAGUCUUCAAGCCAUUUUCAUUAGUUUUCCUUAUUUUUUUUGGGUUUAUGGGUUUAAUUUUAACCUAGGGGUUUGCUAAUUGCUACGAGACCAAGGGUUGCUAUGAGACCAUGAGAUUGCUAUGGGUUUGUCUGGAGCUAGGUAAAGAAGACAGAGGUUAUAAGAGAAAAGUAGUAUUUGUAAUAAAAUGAUCAACAAUUAACCUAAUUAACUUAAUAAUAUAUCUAGCAACAUGUCUUCUUUUGUCAUUUUACAGUCACAAUAGUUUUAUAUAAAAUUUUACAGAACACUUUGACACUUUUUUUUUUACUGAAAGCACUUUCACCAUUAUAGUUUACGAAACACUUACCUGUUUUUUUUUUUUUUUUUUUUUGCAGCUAUUUAUUCUCAUAAUAUAGUAGAAGCAGCUUUGGAAAAAAAACACAACAAUUCCUAACUAGCUCUUACCCUAAAUUUUACUAUGGAGGCUAGCAACCUAGGGACAUCCCUUCUUCUUUUUUUUCCUAAAUGGUAAUCUGAUAUUAAAAGCACAACAUUAAAUAAAAAUUGAUUAGUUAAUGGUUAAUAAUCUUGUUUACAGGAAGUGUUUGAAAUAUCCUGAAUAUGCUUGAUAUUUCCACAUAAAUAUCUAAAAAUUUAGGGAAUGAUAUGGAAGGGGAGGGGGCAUGAAGUGUACUUUUCACCCUAUAUUCUCGAUAUUUCUGGAAAUCAGUCAAUUUCUUCGAUAUUUUAUUAUCCUUGCAGAAAUUUCGACAAAAAGUUACAGACUAGUGAUCAAGUUUUCUUCUUUGUUUCUUUUCGCAUUUCUUUCUUCGUUUCUUUUUCUAUUAUGUGAAUUCAGUUUUCAAUCUUUCAUAUAUUUGGAGAUUGUUGCAAUUGGAAAGUACUACGUAGGAAGGCCUAAUCAAAAUGAAAGAUGAAGAUUGUCUAUUAGUUUUGACUUUAUGAACUUAUACAUUCUAUAUGGUAUUAGUUUAAUUCAAUAAAACUUGUGCUACUUUCAUGAUUAAAGUUUCAAAUAAGUUACAGGCAAUUUAUUCAUUCUCGUGAAGUCUUCUCACUUCACAUAUUGUGGAUCCAAAUUUCCACAAUCUUCUCCUUUGACAAAAAUACACCUACAAAAUAAUAACACCUAAGAUUAAGGUCAAAAGCCUCACGUGCCCACGAUGAAUUUGGGGGGGGGGGGCUUUGGCCAAAGAAUCUCUUAUGCCAAAGUUUGAAUUCUGAAAAGAAUGUAUUUACAAGUUUGUGGGUAGCAAAUGGCUUUAAUUUUAGUGGGAUA